GAUGAACGCUGGCGGCGUGCCUAAUACAUGCAAGUCGAGCGAACAGACGAGGAGCUUGUUCCUCUGACGUUAGCGGCGGACGGGUGAGUAGCACGUGGAUAACCUACCUAUAAGACUGGGAUAAUUUCGGGAAACCGGAGCUAAUACCGGAUAAUAUAUUGAACCGCAUGGUUCAAUAGUGAAAGACGGUUUUGCUGUCAAUUAUAGAUGGAUCCGCGCCGCAUUAGCUAGUUGGUAAGGUAACGGCUUACCAAGGCAACGAUGCGUAGCCGACCUGAGAGGGUGAUCGGCCACACUGGAACUGAGACACGGUCCAGACUCCUACGGGAGGCAGCAGUAGGGAAUCUUCCGCAAUGGGCGAAAGCCUGACGGAGCAACGCCGCGUGAGUGAUGAAGGUCUUCGGAUCGUAAAACUCUGUUAUUAGGGAAGAACAAAUGUGUAAGUAACUAUGCACGUCUUGACGGUACCUAAUCAGAAAGCCACGGCUAACUACGUG
This 497-nucleotide ribosomal RNA is filed under the name uncultured bacterium. Its description in RNAcentral is "partial 16S ribosomal RNA". It matches the Rfam family "Bacterial small subunit ribosomal RNA", at positions 28 to 507 of the family's 1533-position model. The record is from RNAcentral.